UCUUAAUUUUUGCAUAUAUUGUACCAGAUUGACAAAUAGACACUUCUGCUAUUAAUGAAAGAAUCAUGGGUUCAUCACCACAGAAGCCACUGGGGUGGCAUCUUCCAGUUCAGUACAGAUGGCACAUAAGUCUGAACUGGAAGGUUUGGUUCUGGUGAUGGUAUGAUGAAUCAAGCACUAUUUCUUCAAAACAGGUGAAGAACACACCAUGUGGAUCACAUAGUAACCAAGACUGUUUUCCCAGGAAAACUGAACCAGCUGCACUUCAGUGUGCUUGAAGAAAGUGUAAGGAAGCAAGGCAGAAUGAGCUCACCUUGCCAGUGGACAAGAGAGAUCAUGAAAAAACCACAGUGGAGUUAGGUAUCAGCCACGCUCCAUGGGGUACAACUGCCCUAGAAAUGGGUAUCACUGAUUCUGCAUACCAUAUAUGUGGCCUUCAGAUUAGCACACAAGUGAUUCCCCUUUGCUGUAAUCAUCACCUUUGAAGAAACUCCCCAUUUCCAUUCCUUCUCCUCUGCACUGUGAAGAGGAGCUCAUAGCUCCAGAGUGGCCAGACAUCUGCAUGUGGUUAUCUUCACUGUGGUCUGUAAGAAUGCCCAAGAAGUCAUGUCACUACCAUGCACCUGGAAACAAUGCAGGAUGCACAGAGAAGUGGAAGCAUUUGAAAGCAAAUUAGAAAGACUGGAAUCCAAGGGCUGCUGCCAGUGACUGCUGAGAACAGAGAAGGGUGAAGGAAGACAAAACUCUAACUAGAUCCUGCAUCAUUCCAGCUGCUGAAAGAAAUGCAUGGAGAGGGCUGAAAUCAGAGGUGGCGUACGAGGUAUUAUGAUUUAUGGAGUGCUAGUGUCACUCUAACAAGCUGAAGGACACACAAUAUCAUCUCCAACAUCAUUAAAAUUCAGAAGCCUCUAGAACUAACUCAUCAACCACCGUGCAUUGUCACAGGCUAUAGAGCUCUACUCCAGUUGGAAAAUGCCUCACAGUUUGGAGUUGUGCCGACAGGAAUCCUCAAGCCCGGCUGUCUUAUGUGCUACUCUUCAUACACCAAUGGCGUUUACAUCAACGUUACCAAGUCACUUAAAAAGGAGAUGCAAGAACAACAGUAUGAACCACCUGGGCACAAAACCCAUUUGUUUCUUACGAGGCAGUGCAGGGUGCCAGUACACCUGGAAGGCUGCCGCUGUUUCCUUGCAGUUUGUGCUGAUGAAAUAAAAGCUCCUGCAGUUUGAAUGUAAAAGCACAGAAGGCAUGAUGCACCACAAUCACUUCUCAGUGGAGCAAAGAAUUUUCGAGCAUUAAUGGGAAAGUUCUUUACUGAAAUGAGAAGACAAAAAAAAAAUUUGUUAAGGUUAUUUUCCUGGCUGAUUGGAAGCUACUGGUCUUCAAAAAUCAAGUCUGUAAGUUAUGGAUUUUGCUGAUAAAUUUAAGUGAAAGAUGCUGUAAGAAGACAUCAGAACAACCUCAGAGACUUAGAGCAAUCUCAGAGAGGGAGGAGAAGCUCUGAGAGCUGCUGCAUUCCUGCCCUUCCUCUUCAAUGUGACAAACAAAAGCAGCCAAAGCAGCUGCUCUGAGCCACUGGCUCCUUCAAAGCUACCAUCACUGGGGAAGAACCAACUUCAGAGCCUGUGACAGUGUUUUCUGAUGAGCUAUUGGCACAUUAGAGACUGACACGUUCACCUGGGGAGGAGCACACCUGUUCAGUCAACCUGUGUGCAUGGUUAAGAACUGACACCUGAAAUCAGACUCAGGACCUUGGAUUUAGUCCUUGAAAUAAAUUCAGAUGUGUAAUAGUAGUAACUCAAGAAGCUCAUGUUUGAGAACUUAGUGGGGCUGAUGGAUUCAUUCUUCAGCAAAAGCCAUCCUCUGAGUGCUGUGGCAAGUGUCCAUGCAAACUGGAAAGAGCCCUUUGGGACCUGCUCCUAGUACACCUAUCUGUCUCAGAUCAAAGAGCUUCAGGUUUUGAGGCAGGCUUUAACUAAAUGUAAAAAUGUUUCAGGAAGGUGGAAAUAAGUAGCUCAGAGAAACUACUUUCUGGACUUGGCUGCUGAGUUAGAUGACCCUCUGAUACCUGCUGAAAGGAUUUCUUGUGCAUCCAAGAGGAGCAGCAUAAGCUUUUACACAACCCCCAAAUCUCACUGGGUGGAUGAUUUUCAAGAAGCAAGACAACUUUUCAGCAUGGCUUUUAAUUCUCUUCACCACGUGAGUUCAUGCCAGUCUACUUUAUGUUCACCUUCUGAAUUAGGUGAUCUACUGUUCUAACAGACCUCCUGUGGCAUCUGUCCCUGUCACCACCAUCCCCCCGCAAAAAACAAGCAGAAGACAAGAAAAAACUGGAAUUUCCUGUAGCAUUCUUCUGUCCUGUGCUUGCACUGCUCUUGUGGAUCCUGCAUGUGAUGUAUUGAAUGGGCUGUCCUGGGUAGCCUGGUGCAGAACAGCACCUGUUUCCCUGACUGCAGGUAUUCUGGUACUUUAUCUGUGUGUGCAUAGCUGGAGGCUGUACUAGAUCUCUUUGCUCUUGUGGUUAGGUAAUUCCAGCAACAGGCAGCUUUGGCAGCAUUUCAUAUCCAUAAUUGUCUCCAUGGCUGUCUCUCGAUGGAGUGGAUGUGCUCAUUUCUAGCCAUGAUUCUUUUAUCUUAAUUGAAUAACUGCAGCUCACUAAUGUCCAGCAUGACUCAAACUACAGACUGGGUGAUGGCCUUCAUACUACUGUGCCACGUCAUGGUUUUCCUACUGCUUUUAGAUCUCCCUGUGAAUAGCAAAAGAAACCUUUGAGCUCCUUGCCUGGGUUGUCACCUCCCUGGGAAGUGGCUCUGUGCAGCUACUCAAAUUAAUUAGGGUACACAGGGAGGGAGAGAGCAAUAGGUUUGGAGUGAGAUACCCACUUUAAUGUAGGAAGGCUCAUCUUCCUCUGCAGUCAGUGAAAAGGUCUCCUCCAUAAACAGUUCCUGUUUUUCAAAAUAUUGACUAUGCCAGGCAUCACAAUUCCCCUUGAGUUUUCAUUUCUUUUUUAGCAGGCAGCUAAAGAUUAGCUAGCUAUGACUAUGUGAACAACAAUGAAUAUCAGCAGUCUUAGUUCAAAAAAGGAAUCACCAAAAAUCAUCAGAUUACUGCAGUUAAAUGCAAGGUUAUCCACAAAUUCAUCAAUACAUGACAGUCAGUAACUUUCAGAAAAUGUAUCCAAGUCCCUGGUCCACUCACAACUUUCUGAACUCAGACAAAUACACUGUUGGUUAAAGUGCUUAGAAUAGCACAUGUGUAAAGCUUAAUGUAGAGCCUUUCAGCCUUUCAUUCUGUAUGUGACAAGACAUGCUUCCGUUUGGGCUCUUCAUUUGUCUCACAGAAGUGUGGGUGUGAGUCUCUUCCCAUCACACUCCACACAAGCAGUCUCUACAGACUUGCUUCCCAGGAUAACAUUAGGCUUUUGGAGAUCCCUCAGUGUAUUUAUUUCUUGUAAAGAUCCCAUUGCAUUGUCAGCACUUAGCACCAGAUAAUAAUUCUGGAGCCAGACGCUCCCAUCACUGGCCACAAGUCACUUCUAUUGAUUUCAAGUACAAUGCUGCUUUUAUCUGCAUUCCAUGCAGGAAGGAGUGUGGUUGGGCCACCCUCACUGUAUACAUCAUCAGAGUAACACAAGGAACAUAUUGGAGGAACUCUUAGAUAGAGGCAAUGCUGCUUUAAUUUCCAGAAUGGGGCACAUAAAAAGUAGCAUUUUUCUUUUUUAUUUAAAAGUGAUAUAUUAAUUCCAACAAAAUUAUGGGAGUAUUGUUGCUGCCUUCAAUCUGCAUGGGAUAUGAUAAAUUUUCCUCUUCAACUUGUAGGUCUUUUGAGCAGCUGGUUAAUGGUUACUAGCCUUUAUAAGUGGCAAGAAACAAAAAUAUUCUCUUUAAGAAGUCUAGUUUGAUCAGGUUCCUUAAUCAUAAUCAGAAGAAGGAGAAAAAAUGUACAUGGAGUGAGCACAGGUACCACACUCCCUCAUGAGUGAGUAAGGAGGACACAUUUCAGAAAUUAGCAAGUGUCUUGCUUGGGAAUCUGAAGCUAAUGGUGGGGAAGAGGGAUUAGAAAGGAAUCUUUAUCUGUACACAUUACCAAAAAUAAGGCUGUUAUUAUGGCAUGAGUAGAAUUUGAAGUUACAGACAGACAUUAGACAUGGCUGCUCAUGGCAGGAGCCAGGUGCCAAACCAGAAAAGAUAUGUAAUGCUUCCCAUAGCAGCAUCUGGCUUUUUGGCAGAGUCUACACACUUGGGCAUUGAUGGCUCUGGAUUUGCUUUGUAGUCUCUCAAACAGUUGCAUUGCAGUGGCCCUGGGCAAAACUGCAGAACCUUUUCUCCAUAGCACAUCAUUUCACAUAGCAUUUCACAAAAGAAUUACCACUGAAAAUGAACAUAGUCUGUGCAAUUAGUCUGAUAAUUAAGACUUAAGUACUGGACAGAGAUCAAAGUGCUUGUAAUCUGCAAUAAAGUUCCUAGAGUUGUAAGGAUUUUCAAAAUGUUAGCUCGUGCUUUAUUGCACCUUCCAUUUAUUGUGUACCCAUGAUAGCAGCAAACACAUUUUCCCAGUGGAUAUCAGCAUGUAUAACUGCAACACCUGUUACUACAGAAGCCUGGUAUUUCUCACAAUAUGAUUACUCUGUCAACGACUGCCAUAAAAGGUGGCAUCUGUAUUCAUCAAAAAGAGUUAUCAAUAAAUGUAAAGCCAUACCACAAUUAGAGAUCUCCAAGGAAGAACAAAUCCAACCAAAAAAAAAGUCAACGACAGUAUUUAAUUACUAAGAUUGUUAAUCAGUAAAAUGCCUUCAUAACUUUUAAUUAAAUUUUUAUUUGAACUGGAUGUUUAGAAAAUCUCAUUCUUUGUUUUUGUUUCAUUUAACAGUUGCACUACUAAAGUACUGGUGGCAUCUGUGAACAACUUUCCUCGAGGGGACAAUUCAUGUCUGUAACUGCAUUUUGUCACCUACAGAGGGUGUUAAGAAUCUUGUUAAAAAUAAGGGAAAUAGUUAGGAGACACCUCACUGUAGCCAUUAUUAUAGUGCAAAUUACCAGGUAGAGUAAUCCAGAAGCUGUCAGGAAAGGUUAGUAAGAAACAAUGUCAGGAAAUCAAACCAUACAGCAAUCCAUCAUGGCCUAACACUACCUUUAAACUGAAAGCUUUUAAAAGGCAUUGUUUUAUGAAGUAAGGGACAUUAUAUUUUUUUUUACAGCAUUGAAUAAAGAUAACUAGGAGAGUGGUUCUCUCAUGAAAGAUAUAAAGACAUAAUGAUGAAAAAUGUCAAUUAUUUUAUUGCACAAAUCUGCAGGCAAGGUAAAAACCAGAAAGCGGUCGCUUACAAUUGGAAGCCAUUGCAAUGUAAUACCUUACCUUUAUUUUCAUUUUAAUUUUGAAAUAUGCUGUCUGAUUUUUGCAAUCCUUAUUCAGACAACAAAUGACAAGCUUUCUAGAUUACCAGUUCAGUCCUUAGAGGCUCUGUAAGAUGUCAUGAAAAUACAGAAUUUGCCUUUCAGGAAGUUUUUACAAGUGCAGUCUUGACAUUGAUUAUAACACAGAUUGCCAUUGUUCUGUUAGGGGAUAUUAGAAUAGUUUGUUGCCAUUUGUCUUGUAGGUAAAUAAAUGCUAUCUGCCUCUUCCUUUGGCGUUUAGGUAGUGAGUGCCUUCUGCUGCUGACUGUCAGUCGUGUCUCUCCAGUGCUGCAGUGCCACAGAGGAGGGCACAGCUGCUCUCUGCUGUGAUGUGUGAUUUCCAUGGGCACUGCCUGAGGAGCGCCAUCGCUGCUGGAGCUCUGCAUACUGAUGCAGCUUCCAAAGAUGAAGACUCUAAAGAAGCUCUGGCUAAACCAGAAAACCAGCUACAGGGUAUCAGAUGUCUUCAUCUGUAGAUAAUUAUGGACAUGAUCAAAUUAUCUCUUAAUUAACUGAACUAAAUGGACUGAGCUUAUUUCAGAUCUCUACAGAAAGGAAAAGUUGCAGUGUCCAUUUCUUAGUGCCUCUGUGAAGAGCACAUUCAUGGCUCCUAACCUGAUUUGAUGAUCUCUGAAAUGUGGACAUAUAUACAGUCCAGCACAGUGGAAUAUUCACCAAUAAAAUAGCACCUAUAAAAUGUCUUGCAGCAUUCCGGAACUUUGUGAAGGUUUUACUUGCUACUGACAUAACGCAGCUGUCGGACCUACAACAAAGGCUGAGGUUUAUGAGCAACUUGAAUUAGGAUCUGAAUUGUCACUUUGCCUGAACCCAAAUGUGGACAUGACUGUGGCUAGACCAGCAGCAUAUUUACCUAUUGCAGUGCUAGCAGGAAGUUGGGAAAUGAAUGUCUCUUUGGAACUUUAUUAAAACAAUGGAUGUGUAAAAUAAAUCUUGUGGAUUUAUAAACAUUCUUACAAAAGGAAUGAGAUAUGGAGCAAUAUUUUGAGGUGUUAAAAAAAACAUCUAUGGUUGCUGCCCAGCUGUCAAUCAAAUAAGUAACUGGGAGGGCCAUGUUGAUCUGGAUUUUGAAGUGUGGUGUGUCAUUUUUGUAAAACCUCUCAAGACUGACUUUUUACUGCUGUUACUAAGACUCUGGAUGCACAGUGGAACCAAACCAAACUCGCUGUUGGAUUGAGGCAGGGAGCAGAAGGCUGGAAAAUUCAAAUUGUGCUGCUGCCUCUCACCUUCUGACCUACAACUGACGCCUCUCUCCUGUACCUAUGGAUCAGAAGACACUGCGUUGUAGGUUAUAAAAGCAACAUUAUGGUUAACGCUGGUAUGCAGCUGCUGAAAGCACCUAUUGAUCGUGUUUGUUGGGGGGGUUCAGGCUGCUGCCAUGGAGCAUGUCUCAGCCUUGUGGCACCUGUGGGUUAACCAGUGACAGCCACAUCAGUUGUCCUGUAAGUUUGCGGGAAUCCAGCUCCUAUCCUGAGACUGUUCCCGUCCCUAAAUACACACACUGCCCCUUACUUGGUGCAUUGGAGACCACUCACAGCACACAAUUUUAGAAUUUAUUUUUAUUGCAAAAAUUGUAUCCAAUGAAAAUCGUACAAUUCAGAUAAAUGUUUUCCAGUGUUUUAGUCACAACGUCGAUUUUUCAGCAUCUUUCCUAGCUGGCACUAAUACCACUUACAGUAGCAGAUGACGAUUAAAAUAACCAUCCCGUUAUCAAAUGAAAAACAUCAAAGCACAUGUAAGUGAUUAAAGCGGGAAUCUCAGGAACACAUGCUCA
This is a long non-coding RNA of Passer domesticus (house sparrow), 7185 nucleotides long. RefSeq lists it as uncharacterized. The transcript has 25 exons. NCBI's taxonomy places the organism in Eukaryota, Metazoa, Chordata, Aves, Passeriformes, Passeridae. The record is from RefSeq and is a predicted model, not a curated record.